UCUUCUCUUGGUUUGCCUAUAAAUAUUGGAGCAAGCAAGUGCUAUAGAUCAUCGUUCUCCAUACUUGGCAUGGUGAAGAUGGCUUUCUUUAAGACCUCUCAAGUCAUGUUGAUGGCCAUCUUUGUAGGCAUCAUCCUUCUCAUGUCCUCUGAGGUCGCUACAGCUGCAACACUACUUAAAUUUGGACGAAGGGUUCUGGGUGUACCAAUUGGCAUGGACUGUGGUACAGACAACUAUGGAGUCCCGAGCUAUUGCACAGGAAUGGGAGGAUUUGCUGAGCCUCCGCCGCCAUAGGGCCCAUAACCAUAGUUAUGUAGAAAUUCAAAUAAAAUUAUGUAAGGGGAUUAUCAGAAAAAUAAUAGAUCUGAAUGAUGAUGUCAGCAUUUGGAUGUAUAAGAUUGAUGAGUGUCUUAAAAGAGAUGUAUUU
Molecule: long non-coding RNA, 427 nt
Organism: Vitis riparia (riverbank grape)
Lineage: Eukaryota; Viridiplantae; Streptophyta; Magnoliopsida; Vitales; Vitaceae
Exons: 2
Source: RefSeq, a predicted model, not a curated record